UUCCAUCAACGUUCUGAACUUUGGACGUGGGCGACAGCAGUGAUCUGCCACUUUGAAGAAGAAAACAAGAAGAACCCUCUGUAGACAGAAGAUACAUGCCACAUCAAGCCUUCUCAGCCAAGGAAGAACUUGUCUGAACCUCUUCCUGGGAUUGGGAAAAGGAUCCGGGAAAGACAGCGUGCUGCCAGGUAAGAGAUUAGGACACGUUUCAGCGUGGAGUUGUGCCGUCUGAGAGCUUUUGUUUGAGCUGCCCGUUUGAAAUGGAUAUUUUCUGAGCGCGAGCAUGUCAG
Molecule: long non-coding RNA, 290 nt
Filed under: Oryzias javanicus (javanese ricefish)
Lineage: Eukaryota; Metazoa; Chordata; Actinopteri; Beloniformes; Adrianichthyidae
Description: lncRNA (ENSOJAG00000023717.1)
Source: RNAcentral